UACGUAGGGGGCAAGCGUUGUCCGGAUUUACUGGGCGUAAAGGGCGCGUAGGCGGCAAUUCAAGUCAUCUGUGAAAUCUCCGGGCUUAACUCGGAACGGUCAGAUGAUACUGCUUUGCUCGAGUGCGGAAGGGGCAAUCGGAAUUCUUGGUGUAGCGGUGAAAUGCGUAGAUAUCAAGAGGAACACCUGAGGUGAAGACGGGUUGCUGGGCCGACACUGACGCUGAAGCGCGAAAGCCAGGGGAGCAAAUGGG
Molecule: ribosomal RNA, 253 nt
Filed under: uncultured bacterium
Lineage: Bacteria
Description: partial 16S ribosomal RNA
Rfam family: Bacterial small subunit ribosomal RNA
Source: RNAcentral